RNAcentral lists this ribosomal RNA (2787 nucleotides) under Escherichia coli. RNAcentral's name for it is "bacterial LSU rRNA". It matches the Rfam family "Bacterial large subunit ribosomal RNA". Lineage: Bacteria; Pseudomonadati; Pseudomonadota; Gammaproteobacteria; Enterobacterales; Enterobacteriaceae. The record is from RNAcentral.
AGCGUACACGGUGGAUGCCCUGGCAGUCAGAGGCGAUGAAGGACGUGCUAAUCUGCGAUAAGCGUCGGUAAGGUGAUAUGAACCGUUAUAACCGGCGAUUUCCGAAUGGGGAAACCCAGUGUGAUUCGUCACACUAUCAUUAACUGAAUCCAUAGGUUAAUGAGGCGAACCGGGGGAACUGAAACAUCUAAGUACCCCGAGGAAAAGAAAUCAACCGAGAUUCCCCCAGUAGCGGCGAGCGAACGGGGAGCAGCCCAGAGCCUGAAUCAGUGUGUGUGUUAGUGGAAGCGUCUGGAAAGGCGCGCGAUACAGGGUGACAGCCCCGUACACAAAAAUGCACAUGCUGUGAGCUCGAUGAGUAGGGCGGGACACGUGGUAUCCUGUCUGAAUAUGGGGGGACCAUCCUCCAAGGCUAAAUACUCCUGACUGACCGAUAGUGAACCAGUACCGUGAGGGAAAGGCGAAAAGAACCCCGGCGAGGGGAGUGAAAAAGAACCUGAAACCGUGUACGUACAAGCAGUGGGAGCACGCUUAGGCGUGUGACUGCGUACCUUUUGUAUAAUGGGUCAGCGACUUAUAUUCUGUAGCAAGGUUAACCGAAUAGGGGAGCCGAAGGGAAACCGAGUCUUAACUGGGCGUUAAGUUGCAGGGUAUAGACCCGAAACCCGGUGAUCUAGCCAUGGGCAGGUUGAAGGUUGGGUAACACUAACUGGAGGACCGAACCGACUAAUGUUGAAAAAUUAGCGGAUGACUUGUGGCUGGGGGUGAAAGGCCAAUCAAACCGGGAGAUAGCUGGUUCUCCCCGAAAGCUAUUUAGGUAGCGCCUCGUGAAUUCAUCUCCGGGGGUAGAGCACUGUUUCGGCAAGGGGGUCAUCCCGACUUACCAACCCGAUGCAAACUGCGAAUACCGGAGAAUGUUAUCACGGGAGACACACGGCGGGUGCUAACGUCCGUCGUGAAGAGGGAAACAACCCAGACCGCCAGCUAAGGUCCCAAAGUCAUGGUUAAGUGGGAAACGAUGUGGGAAGGCCCAGACAGCCAGGAUGUUGGCUUAGAAGCAGCCAUCAUUUAAAGAAAGCGUAAUAGCUCACUGGUCGAGUCGGCCUGCGCGGAAGAUGUAACGGGGCUAAACCAUGCACCGAAGCUGCGGCAGCGACGCUUAUGCGUUGUUGGGUAGGGGAGCGUUCUGUAAGCCUGUGAAGGUGUGCUGUGAGGCAUGCUGGAGGUAUCAGAAGUGCGAAUGCUGACAUAAGUAACGAUAAAGCGGGUGAAAAGCCCGCUCGCCGGAAGACCAAGGGUUCCUGUCCAACGUUAAUCGGGGCAGGGUGAGUCGACCCCUAAGGCGAGGCCGAAAGGCGUAGUCGAUGGGAAACAGGUUAAUAUUCCUGUACUUGGUGUUACUGCGAAGGGGGGACGGAGAAGGCUAUGUUGGCCGGGCGACGGUUGUCCCGGUUUAAGCGUGUAGGCUGGUUUUCCAGGCAAAUCCGGAAAAUCAAGGCUGAGGCGUGAUGACGAGGCACUACGGUGCUGAAGCAACAAAUGCCCUGCUUCCAGGAAAAGCCUCUAAGCAUCAGGUAACAUCAAAUCGUACCCCAAACCGACACAGGUGGUCAGGUAGAGAAUACCAAGGCGCUUGAGAGAACUCGGGUGAAGGAACUAGGCAAAAUGGUGCCGUAACUUCGGGAGAAGGCACGCUGAUAUGUAGGUGAAGUCCCUCGCGGAUGGAGCUGAAAUCAGUCGAAGAUACCAGCUGGCUGCAACUGUUUAUUAAAAACACAGCACUGUGCAAACACGAAAGUGGACGUAUACGGUGUGACGCCUGCCCGGUGCCGGAAGGUUAAUUGAUGGGGUUAGCGCAAGCGAAGCUCUUGAUCGAAGCCCCGGUAAACGGCGGCCGUAACUAUAACGGUCCUAAGGUAGCGAAAUUCCUUGUCGGGUAAGUUCCGACCUGCACGAAUGGCGUAAUGAUGGCCAGGCUGUCUCCACCCGAGACUCAGUGAAAUUGAACUCGCUGUGAAGAUGCAGUGUACCCGCGGCAAGACGGAAAGACCCCGUGAACCUUUACUAUAGCUUGACACUGAACAUUGAGCCUUGAUGUGUAGGAUAGGUGGGAGGCUUUGAAGUGUGGACGCCAGUCUGCAUGGAGCCGACCUUGAAAUACCACCCUUUAAUGUUUGAUGUUCUAACGUUGACCCGUGAUCCGGGUUGCGGACAGUGUCUGGUGGGUAGUUUGACUGGGGCGGUCUCCUCCUAAAGAGUAACGGAGGAGCACGAAGGUUGGCUAAUCCUGGUCGGACAUCAGGAGGUUAGUGCAAUGGCAUAAGCCAGCUUGACUGCGAGCGUGACGGCGCGAGCAGGUGCGAAAGCAGGUCAUAGUGAUCCGGUGGUUCUGAAUGGAAGGGCCAUCGCUCAACGGAUAAAAGGUACUCCGGGGAUAACAGGCUGAUACCGCCCAAGAGUUCAUAUCGACGGCGGUGUUUGGCACCUCGAUGUCGGCUCAUCACAUCCUGGGGCUGAAGUAGGUCCCAAGGGUAUGGCUGUUCGCCAUUUAAAGUGGUACGCGAGCUGGGUUUAGAACGUCGUGAGACAGUUCGGUCCCUAUCUGCCGUGGGCGCUGGAGAACUGAGGGGGGCUGCUCCUAGUACGAGAGGACCGGAGUGGACGCAUCACUGGUGUUCGGGUUGUCAUGCCAAUGGCACUGCCCGGUAGCUAAAUGCGGAAGAGAUAAGUGCUGAAAGCAUCUAAGCACGAAACUUGCCCCGAGAUGAGUUCUCCCUGACUCCUUGA